GACGAACGCUGGCGGCGUGCCUAAUACAUGCAAGUCGAACGCAGUGGGGACGGGUGAGUAACACCUGGGCAACCUCCCAUCAGAGGGGAUAACACUUGGAAACAGGUGCUAAACUGACACUGAUGUAUUGAUCCGCGGUGCAGUAGCUAGUUGGUGGGGUAACGGCCCACCAAGGCCACGAUGCAUAGCCGACCGGGGAGGGUGAUCGGCCACACUGGGACUGAGACACGGCCCAGACUCCUACGAGAGGCAGCAGUAGGGAAUCUGCGGCAAUGGACGAAAGUCUGACCGAGCAACGCCGCGUGAGAGAAGAAGGUUUUCGGAUCGGAAAACUCUGUUGUUAGAGAAGCGGUAUCUAACCAGGAAGCCACGGCUAACUACGUGCCAGCAGCCGCGGUAAUUC
RNAcentral lists this ribosomal RNA (403 nucleotides) under uncultured bacterium. RNAcentral describes it as "partial 16S ribosomal RNA". It matches the Rfam family "Bacterial small subunit ribosomal RNA", at positions 28 to 526 of the family's 1533-position model. The record is from RNAcentral.